UGUAUACGUGAGAGAACAGAAAGUCUGGAGUUGUUAAGCAAUUGGCCACUCCACUAAAGUAGACUGGAGUGGAGCCUGAACUCACCAGUAGAGUUUUUCUAAUGGCAAAGCCUGUGCUUUCUGUGACUACGAUACAGAGGCCUGUUGAUGAAGGCCUCUCCUCAUGGUCAUUGCUACAGGAAGGGAUGGUCUUGGGGCUGUUCCCUCCCAUCCUUGUCCAAGCAUAGCUUUUUCUACUCCUGAGAGUCCUCAGACUGGCCUGACCUAUAGUUAGAUGGCAGGACCUCUGAGGCAACUAUUCCUGUACCCUCAGACAUCAGGCUCCAAAGUCUUUCAUAAAAGCAGCUCUUAGUCUUCCUCUAAUUCUUUCCUGUCUCCUUCCUAUAAGCCCCAGGACUUAAAAAGAAACAAACAACCUGGCAAAAAAAAAAAGCUUUCCCUUUGCUGCCUCAGUCUAAAAUUAAUUCUGUAGUGAAAAUAGACAUCUAGCUCAUAAGAUCAGAAAACAGCAAGACCCUGAAAUUCCAUUUCGGACCCAGCUGGGGCGUUUUUCUCUUACAAGUGAAACUCUCUCCACGUGUGUCUUCCACACAGCGAAGUAAUGGCAAACCCAGGGCAACAACCUGAACAUUUAGAUCCCAUGGGACAAGUAAAACCACCAGGAGAAGGGGAAUGAACUCCAAGAAACUAAAUGUCCGUCAGAUGUCAUGUUGACUCGCUCUGCUUUCACCUGUGAAGAUGCUGAUAUUAUACAAGGUCCCUCAUCUGCAGUGCAAGUGGGCACACACAGUCAAGACUCCAUCCAUCCUGUGCAGCGUUCUGAACCUUGGGGGACCAACUCACAAUGAAUUUUCAGCUUUGGUUGUCUCCUGCUACUUGGUUCAAUGAUCUCUGUCCAACCCCACAGCACAUUCCGGCAUUUGCACUGUGCCGUGGACGCCGCUGCAUUGUGCAUGCUCCAGGCUAUGUUUGUGGACAGUCACGUCGCCGCGGAAGUCAAGCUCAUUUGUCAUCCUUGCUAGGCACUUGCAGGGCUGCCUGAAGAGAAAAAUAUCUGAAAGCAGGCAGUGACGAAGGUAAAGAAGAGACUCAGGAGUGGAAGGGCAGAAGGGGGCUGUGGGGGUGGAUGUACGGAACCAGGCAUAUCUGAGUCCCUGGAAGGACAGGCUCCUGCGUCAUAAUUCUGCUUCUGAUGGGAGGCCUUCGCAGUGACAAACCUGGGCCUUCUGGCUCUCCGUAUGUCUUAGACCUCAUUUUGAAACAGGUUAUUGCAGUAAUGGCCCCCGAUUUGUCCACAUCUCCCCGUAUCCACACCCUUAGGUAAUCCUUUCCACACUGACUCGGAGCUGGGAUGGUAGCAAAUACGAUUCAAGCAGAGACUUGAAAAGGGCUUGUGGGUUGGGGCUUACUUACUUGUUUCUCUUGGAACUCCGUGACUCUCAUGUGAAUAAGCCUGGAAUAAACUCCUCUAAAAUGAGAGACCACAUAGAGAGAGAGGCCCUUAUCAUCCCAGCCAUCCCAUCCGAAGCCUUCAUAAACCAGCCAACUCUAGACAACUCAUCAGUCUCAGCAAUAAACCCAGUUAGGAACAGCCAGGCCAGGCCCAGAGCAGAAGAAUUGCCCAGUUGAGCUCAGCUCCAAGGUACUGAGCUGCACACUUGUGUGCUGAAUAAGUGACAUGGUGCGUUACAAGGCAAAAGAUAACUGAUAAAUGCCUUAAUACUUGGCUUGCCUAUCCAUUUCAGAAAUAAUUCCAAUUCAGUCUUUCAUGAAUGUUUUCACGGUUUCAUUUGGAAAAUUCUGCUCUAAAAAUUAUAAAGGGGUGAAAAUAUAAGGCAACUUAGUAUACUAUCACCAUUUGAGAAGGGUAUUUUCUAAAACAGUCUCUCCUAGUAACUUUCAGAGGUAUUUGUGAGGUGAAAUGAGAGUGGGGAAGAGACUUCUAAAAUCACGUUGCUAAAAGAAAGUGGCAUCGCUUAGCAGCAACAUUUCAAAACCAGAGAAUCUUCAAAUAUUCUAGCUUAUCCACAUAUUUGUGUAUCACAAAUGUGAUAUGAUGGACAUUUUCACUGUUGCAGGAAAAUCAGCCCUGACUCUCUUGUCUCGUACUUAAAUAUGAUUCUUAAUGGACCUACAUUUCAAACUCCUGGAUCCCUUCUCAAGCUCCAAGUGCCUUAAGUUUGAGUUGACGUGGCGAGUGUGGGAGAAAGUAAGAAACAUUAAAUACUUGCAAUUUACACUUUGGGAGUUUCCAAAAUUCAACUCAUUCAUUUUUUUUUCCAGCAAAUAUUUUAUUGAGUGUCUGGUCACCACCUUGUGUGCUGCUCUGAAAACCUGCUAUAACUGCACAAAGGUGGCAGAGCACAUUGCUCUUAAUUCCCAUGGCUUUCUUGGGAAACUGUACACUACCACUGCAGUCACAAUAUGGUCUUCCUCUCUUCCCAGCCACCCCCACCAUAAAGCUACCUGAAAUAAGGGCACAUUACAUAUUUUCUGAUGGUCUUUCCUCUGUAGAGAAAUGUAGAUCCUGGAUAAAGACCCUUGGCAAGGACCUUUUUCCUCUGCCUGAUAUUUGUAUUCAAGCAAAAUAAUGAUAGUAAGAGUAAGCAUUUAGAAAGUGUUGACUAUGUAGCCUAGCACUGCUCCGACACUUUACGUUUAUUAAUAGACGACUGAGGCUAGCUUUGAUCAAUAAAAUCACGUGAGUAGGCACAUUUGCCACUCGGUGGUACAAGAAGGAGUCCCUAUGGCAUCGCAUGACUGUCCAUGGAGUUUCCAGAGAGGUGAUAACUGAUGCUGUGAACUCCUGGUUUCCAGGAAACGGCUCUAAGCUUGUCUCUAAGGUAUCUAAACAAAUAUUUUAUUAUCUUCUGGGAAUUCUGAUCCUGCAACCUAAAUCAAAGAUCCCAAACACUAAAUCAAAUUUUUGUGGCCUUCAAAGCUUAAUAUGAAAAUUACCAGUGAUGUUUUUCUUCCCCCAUAAUAUGACAUUAGGAGCUUAGUAAUGCAUAUCUAGAUGUGAGUUGACAUUUACACUUGUUAUUUGUUGGGAAGGAUGAGUAUGCUUCAUAAUUUAUAUGUAUCAAAUAUCUUCAUUUGUGUAAAUCAAAGAGUUACUAAUAAAAAUGCUAAGAGAAGCUGGA
This 3143-nucleotide long non-coding RNA is filed under the name Homo sapiens (human). RNAcentral's name for it is "HSALNT0199877". The record is from RNAcentral. Lineage: Eukaryota; Metazoa; Chordata; Mammalia; Primates; Hominidae.